Molecule: small nucleolar RNA, 89 nt
Filed under: Emergomyces pasteurianus Ep9510
Lineage: Eukaryota; Fungi; Ascomycota; Eurotiomycetes; Onygenales; Ajellomycetaceae
Description: Emergomyces pasteuriana Ep9510 A. fimigatus snoRNA Afu_199
Rfam family: A. fimigatus snoRNA Afu_199
Source: Rfam by way of RNAcentral
UUGCAUGAUGAGAGAACCUUAAUUAGCUCUAGAUCAGAAGCCGCAACUUUGCGGUGGUGACUGAUUCACUUGCAUGUAUUAUCUGACCC